GCAAGGCGAACGCAGUAGCAAUACUGAGUGGCAGACGGGUGAGUAACAUGUGGGAAUCUGCCUUGUGGUUCAGGACAACAUUGGGAAACCGAUGCUAAUACUGGAUAAGCCCUUACGGGGAAAGUUUUAAUGCCAUAAGAUGAGCCCGCAUUUGAUUAGUUAGUUGGUGAGGUAAUGGCUCACCAAGACAAUGAUCAAUAGCUGAUCUGAGAGGAUGAUCAGCCACACUGGGACUGAGACACGGCCCAGACUCCUACGGGAGGCAGCAGUGGGGAAUCUUGCACAAUGGAGGAAACUCUGAUGCAGCGAUGCCGCGUGAGUGAAGAAGGCCUUUGGGUUGUAAAGCUCUUUUGUAGGGGAAGAUAAUGACUGUACCCUAAGAAUAAGGUCCGGCUAACUUCGUGCCAGCAGCCGCGGUAAUACGAAGGGACCUAGCGUAGUUCGGAAUUACUGGGCGUAAAGCGCGCGUAGGCCGUUGAGUUAGUUAAUUGUGAAAUCCCAAAGCUUAACUUUGGAACUGCAAUUAAAACUGCUCGACUAGAGUUUGAUAGAGGAAAGCGGAAUACAUAGUGUAGAGGUGAAAUUCAUAGAUAUUAUGUAGAACACCAGUUGCGAAGGCGGCUUUCUGGAUCAACACUGACGCUGAGGCGCGAAAGUAUGGGUAGCAAAGAGGAUUAGAUACCCUCGUAGUCCAUACCAUAAACGAUGAUUGCUAGAUGUUGGAAAUUUAUUUUCAGUAUCGCAGCUAACGCAUUAAGCAAUCCGCCUGGGGAGUACGACCGCAAGGUUAAAACUCAAAUGAAUUGACGGGGACCCGCACAAGCGGUGGAGCAUGUGGUUUAAUUCGAAGAUACGCGCAGAACCUUACCAACCCUUGACAUGUCUGUCGCGAGUUUAGGAAACUAGACUUUUCGGUUCGGUCGGACAGAACACAGGUGCUGCAUGGCUGUCGUCAGCUCGUGUCGU
Molecule: ribosomal RNA, 966 nt
Filed under: uncultured Pseudomonadota bacterium
Lineage: Bacteria; Pseudomonadati; Pseudomonadota
Description: bacterial SSU rRNA
Rfam family: Bacterial small subunit ribosomal RNA
Source: RNAcentral